Molecule: long non-coding RNA, 3243 nt
Organism: Cloeon dipterum
Lineage: Eukaryota; Metazoa; Arthropoda; Insecta; Ephemeroptera; Baetidae
Exons: 4
Source: RefSeq, a predicted model, not a curated record
ACCGGUUUUGCGUUGAGACAAAAUACGGGUGGGAUACCAGAAAAGAAGCUGAGAAGCUCAUUUUCAUACCAGGAUCGAAAGGAUGAAGAAGUUCACUGCCGCCUUUUUGUGCGUCUUUCUUUUACUUGCUGCUAUUUUGAGUGGUGCAAUGGGCCAGCGGAACAACAGAAUACGGUCAUCCCAGCAACGCUCUCGGCCCAAUAGCCAGCAGGUCGGCAUUAGCAACAUUGCGGACGGGCCGCGACGAAACCAAUGCCCGCGUGGCUAUAUUCCCGUACGUGGACAAUGCAGAUACCACCGAGGCUGAAUUUUUAAAAUAUUAUCGAAUAAUUCUAGAGAGCGAUAGUAAUGCUUGAUGAUGAUUAGAUUAUUUCAUAUCUAAAUUAGAAAAAAUGUGAAAAUUAUGCAUGUUAAUUUCUGGUUCGGGUACCAAUAACUAACCCAAGCUAAAAAUUAAAUUUUAUAUUUAAACAGGAUUAUAGUUUCAUUUCAAUACCUUUUAAUAAAAAGAAAAAUGACAGCUAAUUAAAUUAAGAGGCCUAAUUUUGCUAUAAAAUAUACUGAAUGCUAUUUAUUAAAAAUAUUUCUGCACAAAUUUGACAGUGUUGAGCUAAUAUAUCAAACGCAUACUAAAAAAGAGACGAUAGGAAUAGGAAAUGAGCGGGUGGGAGAGCGAAAAACUUAUUUGCCGACGCACAUGAUGAAAUUUUGCACCUGGCGCUACACGCCUGCUCGCCGUGUGUAUGUGUGUGUUCGGGCUAAUUGGGUUUGCCAGCGAUAAUUAGAUCGGGCAGCUGGGCUAAUUCGGCGUGAGAAGAAAGCGCACGCGGCUAAUUUCCAGCGAGAGAGCUGCGUACAUUUUAAUAUUUGACGAGGCGCCUGUUGCGCCUGAAUCUUUCAUGGCCAAAGGUAAACAGCGGCGAAGUCGGCCGGCCGGAUUAAUAUUUGAAAAUUUGAUGAGCCGUCGAAGCAGCGAAGCGACUCUUGCCUGCUCCCUUUGUUUGCACAAUAAUUGGAUGGAUGGCGAGGCUGCACAAGUGUCGGAUCGCGCGUCCGCCUUUCCAUUCAUUGUUCCCCUUUCGCCGAAGCCCGCGAAUCAGUCGAGCCGACCCGCGCCCGGCAAACAGAUUGACAACGUUCGCUCGUACACACAGCCAGCCAACGUUUCGUUUGUUUGCGAAUAUAGCCGGCUGAAUGAAUUGUUUCUUGACGGCUCUUACUUUGAUUUACUGCCGCGUGCCCGCCGAUAUUUGGAAGUGGAUGGAUGAAGGUGAACAACGCCUCGACUGCUGGCUUUAUUUAGCAUAUAUAAUAACGAUGAUUGAUGGCGCUGUUGGCACGCUUAUCGACUUGAGUGCGAAAGCCAGAUUUGAUUGUUUGUUUGCGUUUUGUAAGGCGAAACUCAAAUGGUUAUUUCUGUAAUCCCUAUUAAGAAGUAUAUUUCCAUUCAACAAUUUCCUGACUCAUUACAUAUUCUAAAAAAUCAUGGUAAAUUUGAAAAAAUUGUAUUGUGGAGAUUAGCAACGAUGGGCAAAAAUGUGAAAUGAAAUCGGCCUUAGUCUCGCGGUCGUAAUCAAGGUUUUUAUUCGAAUUUUUUGUAAAUUUAUUCUGGAAUUAUACAGUUAGACGAAAUACGAUCGCAUUUUUAAUUGAGCACGAUUGCUUGCCAGUAGAAAAACUCGAAUAAACUUAAUUUUCUUCAAACUUUGGGACAAUAUACAACCAAUUUUUUACAACACAUAUGCUGGACACUGAGUAAAAAAUUCUCGUAUUGAUUUUACGGAAAAUAAUUUUGAUUUUUUACAAAAAUAGCAGCUUAAUAUGUUGUAAAAAAACAAAAAUUAAGAAAUAAAAAUUUUAUCCUGAUGACCCUGGGUAGCUUUGACGCAGAUUUAUUGCUUUUUAAGAAAACAAUUCAGUUUGACCAGCCUCAAAUUAUUUUAGCACGAAAAUGUAAAAAAAUCUCUAAUAUAUGGAAUAAUUAAACAUUUCAUGCGUCAGCAAAAUUUUGAAUUCUUGCGCAGGCAACGCAAACUGAGCAACGUUCCGUGAAAAUCCACGGCGUUGGUGAUUUAAUUUGCGAUCGAAAUUAGGUAAAGUUAUUGCGCAGCCCGCGGACGAAGAGGAAGCAACGUAUAAUUAAGUCGGACUAAAAUUCGCUUGGAGGAAGGAAACCAUUUGUUUUUGCAUUUUAGAUUUUCUGGAACAUAAAAGAGAGGAGCAGCGAGUAGCGAGCUUCCAGUGUCCGACAGCAACUGCUCAAGAGAACCACGCAAAAUGAAGAUCAUCCUCGCUUCUUUUCUGAUCGUGCUUUUGGUAGUGGGUAACCAUUUAGAAGGGGUGUCUGCAAAACCCCAGCAGUUUCCUGGAGAGACGGCAGCAGCCGGCAAUCCACCCCCUUCCAAUGGACCUUCAAACUUGAACAAUCGCUGCGGAGCCAAUCAAUUCUUUUUCAACAACAAAUGCAACCCAAUCAUUAUAUCAUCAAAUCCUUAAAUUAUGUAUGGGCGUCACUAUGUAGUUCGGUAGUUUCCACAUUUUCAUUAAAAUGAUUUAACUGAUAACUAUAUUUUAAUUCAUUCAAACCUUAUAUAAAUCUCAAAACAUACACAGGAUAGUCGAAAAAUGUCAUUUUGUUUUAAUCUUUACUAGUUCAUUCAAUUUAUUAGUAAAAAGGAGCAAGCAUUCCAUUACUACUAGUAAAAAAAACGUCAAAUCAAAACAAUAUUAUUUCUAGAGUUGCAAAUUAUUGGAAUUUGAAGCCAUUUAAUCCGACAGCAUUCCUGGCCUACUGCCAUCCUGCACAAAGGUGAGACUCAUGUCAAAUAUAUAUUUAAACCUUUAUGACAUAAUGCAAAACUUGUAUCACAGGUGGAAUAUAAAAGGAGCCUACGAGACGCAAAACACUCAAUGCAUCGUUAGAAUCGACGACAUGAAACUGGCUCUCGCCUUUGUUGCACAAUUUUCGUCCUCACAGGAGGUGUGGCGCAAUCUCAGUGGGGCCCUUUCUCAAAAACACAAGAAACGAUUCCGCACUCGCGACCCGUUUUAUCCCCGUUGGCCGCGGUUUCUUCGCCCUAACGGUCAGCUUGUGGACCAUUCCAAGUGUUUGUCCGAAGCAAAUGCAGGCCCCACCUGAUGUUUGGCUGAUUUCAACAAGUUUUCUUCUUUAAUUUUAAAUUUUACUAGCGGAUCGUAAAAAUUUUAUGAUUUUCAAAGAAAAAUAAAAUACAUUUUCAUCAA